Molecule: long non-coding RNA, 3697 nt
Filed under: Pan troglodytes (chimpanzee)
Lineage: Eukaryota; Metazoa; Chordata; Mammalia; Primates; Hominidae
Description: long non-coding RNA NONPTRT002872
Source: RNAcentral
CAGAGGAGAUAGUUUAUUGUCGCCAGUAGACCCAAACAAUAAGACAAAUUGCAAAAGAAACUCAGUCUGCUCCCAAAAGCAGAUACAUCCCAGCAGUCGAGUCACAGAGGGCCAUCUCAGUUUCUCUCCCCUUCCAACCACCCCUUCCAACCUCUCUAUAGCACACACAACCGAGAAAGUGCAUAUGUAGUUGGGUUUUCCCCUCCAAGUGCACAAAGCGCAAGAACAUUCCAAAAUUUGCCUUUGGUGAAUCAACUCAAAACACUGAGAAGUUAUUACACCUCCCCACACACACACAUUGUAACUUUUGGGGUGGGUGUGGUGAGAUGUUUGAUAUUUGUAUAUAUAAUAUAUCUAUACCUAGAGAGAGAGACUAUGUACAGUGCAUCAGCAAGCUUCAAUAAAGGAAGACGCCAGCAAGAGGCACAGCAAGAGACACAGGCUGUCCAUCUUUAAGACAUAAGUAGGAAGGAAGAUUUCUUGCUUCAUCACCCAUUAACUGCACCAAGCCAUUCCUAUGGCCUGGAACUAUCCUUUUGGACCUGCCCAGUAUUUUCAAUUGUCUGUCUGCUUAACCUGACCUUGCAAAUAUUUACCAGCCCAACCUCCCCAAGGAGACUCGCAGAGAGAAACAUGGAUCCGAUCAGCUUUUCCUUUUUAUAAACUGGAAAUAACUGUGAAGAGUCCAUAGCUAGGGGGCAGAUAGCUAUUUCCAAAGCCAGUUCCAAGGCACCUCAAAGCAGUUCAGUCCUGAAUAAUUGUGCUUUGUUCUUAUAAGCUAAAUCCCAUGGGUUAGCCAGCCCGUCUCUCUUUGCAGUGGCCCUUAGUUAGGAGGAAGAGACAGAUGGGGGGUGGGGGCAGAGGGAGGUUCUGAGAGAGCAGGAGAGGCUGGGGCAGUUGAGAAAGUCAGCCGACUAAAACCAGCAGAGCGUCGUGGUGGGAACAUGCAACCAGAAGUGGGGCUCGAACCCCACGGUAGGAAGAGGAAGAACUUGUCAGCAUAAGGUAGGAAACAGGGUAGAGAAAUGGCCGCUGUGGAAACAUCUCUCUGGUUUUCCACCUCUACUUACAGAAGCCCCAACUUCACCAUCCUGGGGGAGGCAGCUCUAUGAGUCCUCUGGAGGAGAUUCUAAGAGGCUCCAGAAGAAAAUGCAUAUGAGGGCUGAGCACCUGGGACAGAGAUGGUUCCUGACCCAGCCCCAUCUGCUGGGGCCCUGAGGCCCGUGAAGAGACAUUGCUUUUCCUGGGCCCCAGUUGAUCAGGGCAGAGGAAAAAAAGACUCCAGGAAUCUUGGGCUUCUUGAUGGAGAGUUAGAACUUCUUAGAAUACACUAGGAAAGCCCGCAAAUAAUUCCCCUAAAUGUUAUGGAUCCUGGAAAAAGCUAAGUUCCCAACAUCAGCACAGCUCCUCACUCAUCCUGGGAGAGAAGGACACUUAAAGGGUGACCAAAAAAAUGAAAUCUGCAAGCUGCAGAAAUGUAUACAACCACUCUUGGUCUCAGCUGGCAUGAGGUGCCCGCCACCCACCUCUCUGCCCCCAGCUGGCUGGCUCGAGGAUGGGCAGCGUCCAUCUGCUGCAGGCAUCCUGGUGGCUUAGCCCACCCGCAUUGGCAGUGUGUUGAUUGGCAGUUAGGUACUGAGCUGAUGAGUUUAGCAUUUCCAGAUGGGCUUGACUCGCUCACCUCACCCAGGUGUUACCAGGCUGGUUGCCCAUCCCCCACUCUGCACCCACUCUGCCUGGCCUCUGCACCCUUGACCCUGUUGUAUUGCCCCUCUUCCCUGCUGUUUCUCCCUUCCCAGGGCACAGAUUCUAGAAUCUCUUCAUCUUCCCCAACUGUAGCCUUGGAAGCAGUGUCUUGCAGAGGUGGAAUUAGUUGCACCAAAAAGUUAAUCUUGGUCCCUACAGUGCCAACCUGGCAGUCCCCAGUGCUUAUGGCUUUGUGUAUAUCCCCAGUGCCUGGCACAGUGCCUGGCACAUAAUAGAUGCUCAAUAAAUGGUUGCUGAAUUGAAGCAAAUUAAGCUGAAUCUCCCAGAUGAUAUUGCUGUCUCCCCAAAUUGGCAAUCUGAUGGGCAGAGGCAGGGAUUGGUCCCUGAGACUGUCACGGUCCUGUCUCCACCCCCUUUCCUAGACUUAUUCCCUACCCUGGGCACCUGACUCCCUGAGCAGGGGUGGGGCAGAGCUCCUGGAAAGGCUGGGAAGUGCUGGGGCAGGGAUUGGUCCCUGAGACUGUCACGGUCCUGUCUCCACCCCCUUUCCUAGACUUAUUCCCUACCCUGGGCACCUGACUCCCUGAGCAGGGGUGGGGCAGAGCUCCUGGAAAGGCUGGGAAGUGCUGGGGCAGGGAAUGGGGCAUUUGCCAGCAGCUGUGCCCUUCACACUUGCUCCCUCCCUCCCUGCUUCCCUCCACUCCUCCUCAGUCCUGGCCAGAGGGGCUGGGCUCCUGGGAGAGGGGCAGGGCUAGAGAAGCCCACCCCUCCAACUCGCCCCAUCAUGGACCAGGCCACAGAGGCCCCUCCCACUGGGAAAAUGAUGGCUCUGUUGCUUCAAACUGGAGACCGAGGAGCCAGAGAAGAGGGCAGGACCCUCAGUUUCUGUCAGUUGGAACCUCAGUUUCCCCAUUUUAAGUGAGUGACUUGGCUAGUUGAUCUCUGAGGAUCUUCCAAGGUCAUGGUCUCAGAGUCAGUGUUUCUGCCUCUUGCUCCUUCUCUCAGGCCUAAUCAAUUUCCAUUGAAUGUGAGUGUAAUGGCAGUGAUGGUUGGCUCCCCACAAUUGCCUUUUUUUUUUUUUUUUUUUUAGAGAUGGAGUCUCUCUAUGUCACCCAGGCUGAAUUGCAGUGGCACUAUCACUAUCUCAGUUCACUGCAACCUCCGCUUCCCGGGCUCAAGCGAUUCUCCUGCCUCAGCCUCCCAAAUAGCUGGGAUUACAGGCACACGCCACCACACCCAGCUAAUUCUUGUAUUUUUAGUAGAGAUGGGGUUUUGCCCAUUUCUACUAAACAGAUGGAGGUAAUCCACCCGCCUUGGCCUCCCAAAGUGCUGGGAUUACAGGCGUGAGCCACUGUGCCUGGCCUACAAUUGUCACUUUUAUCCCCACGAAGGGAGUUGUUGGGAGAGGAGCAAGUAGCGUGGCCGCAGAUGGGACAGGGCUGGCAUUGGCGGCUCAGGUUCCAAGGCCUCCCCUCAUGCUGGCCUCAGGCUUUCCCUUCCCUCUCUGUAGCCAAAAGCCAGGUGGAAACCCCACCAAGGGCAACUGGGAGAGUUCUCACUGAAGCCCCAAAGAAAGCUGCCCCACCCUGUGCAUGGCCUCCUCAUUUCCCAGCCUUGGCUGCCCCUGCCCAGGCGAGGGUGGUUACCCCAUGGAGAAGGCAGAGCCUGCAGCAACCUGCAUUCACCAUGGAGCCCCACCCCUCAGCCCCUCAGCUGACUUUGAAACUGGCCUCUGUUGGUGGGUCCCCGCUGGGAAACAUGGCCCCCUACCUGGAGCUGCUCUUCCAGUCUGGCCUCAUCCACAGUCCUAAGGGAUUAGGAGCCAACGGGAGCCCCAAGGAGGCCACUAGCAAUGGAAAUGAGGGCCCAACAUGGCCUCCUGGGCCAGGGCACAUGUCCAGCUCUGCCUGCAGCCCUGGCUUUCCGUCAGUGCCCUGGAAUGCACAGUCAUCCCCUUUAACAUGCCCCUCCAAGUUUCAGGAACUCAUCC